This 294-nucleotide ribosomal RNA is filed under the name uncultured bacterium. Its description in RNAcentral is "partial 16S ribosomal RNA". It matches the Rfam family "Bacterial small subunit ribosomal RNA", at positions 28 to 313 of the family's 1533-position model. The record is from RNAcentral.
GACGAACGCUGGCGGCGUGCUUAACACAUGCAAGUCGAGCGGGGUCCAACUUGUCGCAAGACAAGGGAAGGCCUAGCGGCGAACGGGUGAGUAACACGUGAGGAACCUGCCCCGAAGACUGGGAUAACACCGGGAAACCGGUGCUAAUACCGGAUACCCACCAGAGAUCGCAUGGUCUUUGGUGGAAAUGGAUUCCGCUUCGGGAGGGCCUCGCGGCCGUAUCAGCUUGUUGGCGGGGUAACGGCCCACCAAGGCGACGACGGGUAGCUGGUCUGAGAGGACGGCCAGCCACAC